Molecule: long non-coding RNA, 966 nt
Filed under: Cucumis sativus (cucumber)
Lineage: Eukaryota; Viridiplantae; Streptophyta; Magnoliopsida; Cucurbitales; Cucurbitaceae
Description: long non-coding RNA (CSAT_LNC001966)
Source: RNAcentral
UCAAGAAGAAAGGUUUGACGAGAAGUUGUCAAAUUUGAUUUGACAAGGAUUAACGUGUAAGAUUAAGGUUUUAAGCAUGACUAAAAUAAAUAGAAAUUUUACGAGUGUAAGGUUGAAGUAGGAUCUGGCAAUCGAAUAAAGAACUAAGGAUGACUAAUCCAAAUUAAAAUAGUAGUAUAAAUAGAGGAUUUGGGUAACUAAGUAGGAGAUGAUCAUAAUUUUGUUGAAAUAUUGAAGUGCUGCCACUUGGUCUCCGUGAGAAGACUUUGGGAGAAGAGAAAAGUUGAAGAGUGAGUGAUUUACUUUCAAAGUUUUGUGAGUGCUUUCCUUAAUAUUUUAUGUCAAAUGUUUCCUUAUAAAUCUCUACUAAUUUGAGUUAAUGAUUACGAUUCAAAAUGAUUCUAAAAGAGAUUUAUAUGAAAAAGUGUUAUGAUAUUCAAAGCAUGAUCUUAAUGUUUAUGAUAUAUUGUUUGCAAACAAUUAGUUACUUCCUUUGAAUAAGCUAACUUUUAUGUGCACCUAAAGAGUUAAAGGCCACCGUGAGUGUACAUGACUACGUGGUGAUGAAGUUGGCUAAUGUGUUGAAAGAAGCGUAUAAUGCUUAGCGGCAUGAGCAACAAGGACAAAACAAGAUACUCUCGAAUGCUGAUGAUUUAGUAGUCUAAACAAGAAGUUACAUGAUCUAACGUAGAGAGUGAUUCGGGAUCCUUGGCGAAAUAAAAUGGUUGCGAAAUGAUUUGUUAAGCAUAAAGAAAGGUUUAUGUGAAAUGAAAUAAUUUGUUGGUGUGCUUAAAUGACUUGAUAUUAUUUUUGCGAAAUGAUUAUGAAAAGGUAUUGCAAAAAGUUUUCAUAAAACCUUACUGAGUCUGUCAACUGACAUUUUCAAAAUCUAUAUUUCAGGAUCAAACGUUUAGGCUAAGUAGAGAAGAAGGUUGAAGGAUUUGCGCCGAAAUGAGACAGCUACUA